This 452-nucleotide ribosomal RNA is filed under the name uncultured bacterium. Its description in RNAcentral is "bacterial SSU rRNA". It matches the Rfam family "Bacterial small subunit ribosomal RNA", at positions 354 to 796 of the family's 1533-position model. The record is from RNAcentral.
GUGGGGAAUAUUUCGCAAUGGGCGCAAGCCUGACGAAGCAACGCCGCGUGGAGGAUGAAGGCCCUAGCGGUCGUAAACUCCUGUCUAGUGGGACGAAAGGUUUGCGGGGAAAUACUCCGCGAAUUUGACGGUACCGCUGGAGGAAGCUCCGGCCAACUCCGUGCCAGCAGCCGCGGUAAUACGGGGGGAGCAAGCGUUACUCGGAAUUACUGGGCGUAAAGGGCGCGUAGGCGGUCCUGUAAGUCCUGUGUGAAAGCCCCGGGCCUAACCCGGGAAGUGCACGGGAUACUGUGGGGCUCGAGUGCAGGAGAGGAAGGCGGAAUUCCCGGUGUAGCGGUGAAAUGCGCAGAUAUCGGGAGGAACACCAGCGGCGAAGGCGGCCUUCUGGACUGCAACUGACGCUGAGGCGCGAAAGCCAGGGGAGCAAACGGGAUUAGAAACCCGAGUAGUCC